GAUAGAAUAAAAUGGAGGGUGUGAAGGACCUCCAUGAAAACCAAACCCAUUGAAUGUGUGUAUUGUAAUUCAGGCAAAAUGUAAAAGAAAAGCAUCUAGGCUAUACUAAGAUUAAUACAUUUUCUUAAGUUAAUAUUUUGCUCAUCUAUAUCUUUAUAUGUUGUACCACUUAUAUUAUCAAAGUAAAAUUGGAUAACAAGAAGUACCACUAUUUUAUGAUAUAUUAUUUGUUUGACUUAACUA
RNAcentral lists this long non-coding RNA (243 nucleotides) under Trifolium pratense (red clover). RNAcentral's name for it is "long non-coding RNA (TPRA_LNC010321)". The record is from RNAcentral. Lineage: Eukaryota; Viridiplantae; Streptophyta; Magnoliopsida; Fabales; Fabaceae.